AUGAACGCUGGCGGCGUGCCUAAUACAUGCAAGUCGAGCGAACGGACGAGAAGCUUGCUUUUCUGAUGUUAGCGGCGGACGGGUGAGUAACACGUGGAUAACCUACCUAUAAGACUGGGAUAACUUCGGGAAACCGGAGCUAAUACCGGAUAAUAUUUUGAACCGCAUGGUUCAAAAGUGAAAGACGGUCUUGCUGUCACUUAUAGAUGGAUCCGCGCUGCAUUAGCUAGUUGGUAAGGUAACGGCUUACCAAGGCAACGAUGCAUAGCCGACCUGAGAGGGUGAUUGGGCACACUGGCACUGAGGCACGGUCCAGACUCCUACGGGGGGCAGCAGUAGGGAAUCUUACGCAAUGGGCGAGAGCCUGACGGAGCAACGCCGCGUGAGUGAUGAAGGUCUUCGGAUCGUAAAACUCUGUUAUUAGGGAAGAACAUAUGUGUAAGUAACUGUGCAGAUCUUGACGGUACCUAAUCAGAAAGCCACGGCUAACUACGUG
RNAcentral lists this ribosomal RNA (496 nucleotides) under uncultured bacterium. RNAcentral's name for it is "partial 16S ribosomal RNA". It matches the Rfam family "Bacterial small subunit ribosomal RNA", at positions 29 to 507 of the family's 1533-position model. The record is from RNAcentral.